This is a long non-coding RNA of Canis lupus familiaris (dog), 533 nucleotides long. RefSeq lists it as uncharacterized. Lineage: Eukaryota; Metazoa; Chordata; Mammalia; Carnivora; Canidae. The transcript is spliced from 2 exons. The record is from RefSeq and is a predicted model, not a curated record.
CUCAUCAGUCCCGGCAGACUUCCUAACUCUGGAGAAGCCAGGGAGCAAAGACACCCCCUCAAAGCUCGACAGAGGCAGAGCCUAUGGGGACUGCAGAGGGCUUGGUCGAGGCCAAGCCCCAUCUUUACUCCUCAGAAGUCCACUCUGAGGCUGGAAGAGGGGAUUCUAAUCACCCCAGCCCUGGGGCAUUGGGACAGAACCCCCAGAAACUACAGAAGUAGGUUCCAGGUGCACCUGUCCAGCAGAGGUGUUAGAAACCACAGCCUGCCACAGUGACAGCAGCAGAAAGGACACAGAUAAUAGCCCACUGACUACCUUCGAGGUGCUCUGGUGGUUCCUGCUCAUUAUCACGCAUAAGCCUUCUAAACCAGUGCGGCAAAGUGGGGAUCGUGGUCCCCAUUUCUCAGAUGAGGAAACUGAGGCUUUGAGAAGGAAGUGCUUGCCUGAAGUCACCCAGACUGGGAAGCCCUAGACUUAUUGCUGCGUGCCUUUAAAAGACAGACUGGGGACGCCUGGGUGGCUCAGGGGUUAAG